This 90-nucleotide transfer RNA is filed under the name Mycobacterium avium. Its description in RNAcentral is "tRNA-Tyr". It matches the Rfam family "tRNA". Rfam says of the family: Transfer RNA (tRNA) molecules are approximately 80 nucleotides in length. The record is from RNAcentral. Lineage: Bacteria; Bacillati; Actinomycetota; Actinomycetes; Mycobacteriales; Mycobacteriaceae.
GCGUGCGAGGCGAAUACGGGUUUGUCGCGGCUGCCUGUAAAGCAGUUGCCCGCAAGGGCACAGUGGGUUCGAAUCCCUCCGCACGCACCG